This 85-nucleotide transfer RNA is filed under the name bacterium HR33. RNAcentral's name for it is "tRNA-Leu". It matches the Rfam family "tRNA". From Rfam's summary of the family: Transfer RNA (tRNA) molecules are approximately 80 nucleotides in length. Their secondary structure includes four short double-helical elements and three loops (D, anti-codon, and T loops). Further hydrogen bonds mediate the characteristic L-shaped molecular structure. tRNAs have two regions of fundamental functional importance: the anti-codon, which is responsible for specific mRNA codon recognition, and the 3' end, to which the tRNAs corresponding amino acid is attached (by aminoacyl-tRNA synthetases). tRNAs cope with the degeneracy of the genetic code in two manners: having more than one tRNA (with a specific anti-codon) for a particular amino acid; and 'wobble' base-pairing, i.e. permitting non-standard base-pairing at the 3rd anti-codon position. The record is from RNAcentral.
GCCCGGGUGGCGGAACCGGUAGACGCAAGGGACUUAAAAUCCCUUGGGGGAAACCCCGUGCGGGUUCGAAUCCCGCCCCGGGCAC